GACGAACGCUGGCGGCGUGCCUAAUACAUGCAAGUUGAGCGAUGAAGAUUGGUGCUUGCACCAAUUUGAAGAGCAGCGAACGGGUGAGUAACGCGUGGGGAAUCUGCCUUUGAGCGGGGGACAACAUUUGGAAACGAAUGCUAAUACCGCAUAACAACUUUAAACAUAAGUUUUAAGUUUGAAAGAUGCAAUUGCAUCACUCAAAGAUGAUCCCGCGUUGUAUUAGCUAGUUGGUGAGGUAAAGGCUCACCAAGGCGAUGAUACAUAGCCGACCUGAGAGGGUGAUCGGCCACAUUGGGACUGAGACACGGCCCAAACUCCUACGGGAGGCAGCAGUAGGGAAUCUUCGGCAAUGGACGAAAGUCUGACCGAGCAACGCCGCGGGAGGGAAGAAGGUUUUCGGAUCGUAAAACUCUGUUGGUAGAGAAGAACGUUGGUGAGAGUGGAAAGCUCAUCAAGUGACGGUAACUACCCAGAAAGGGACGGCUAACUACGUG
RNAcentral lists this ribosomal RNA (497 nucleotides) under uncultured bacterium. Its description in RNAcentral is "partial 16S ribosomal RNA". It matches the Rfam family "Bacterial small subunit ribosomal RNA", at positions 28 to 507 of the family's 1533-position model. The record is from RNAcentral.